GACGAACGCUGGCGGCGUGCCUAAUACAUGCAAGUAGAACGCAGUGGCGAACGGGUGAGUAACGCGUAGGGAACUGCCUCAUAGCGGGGGAUAACUAUUGGAAAAGAUAACUAAUACCGCAUAAUGUGACAUGGACCUGCGUUGUAUUAGCUAGUGGGUGGGGUAAAGGCUCACCAAGGCGACGAAACAUAGCAGAACUGAGAGGGGGAUCGGCCACACUGGAACUGAGACACGGCCCAGACUCCUACGGGAGGCAGCAGUAGGGAAUCUUCGGCAAUGGACGGAAGUCUGACCGAGCAAUGCCGCGUGGAUGAAGAAGGCCUUCGGGUUGUAAAGUACUUUCGGCGGGGAGGCGGUACCCGCAGAAGAAGCACCGGCUAACUCCGUGCCAGCAGCCGCGGUAAUUC
Molecule: ribosomal RNA, 407 nt
Filed under: uncultured bacterium
Lineage: Bacteria
Description: partial 16S ribosomal RNA
Rfam family: Bacterial small subunit ribosomal RNA
Source: RNAcentral